Molecule: long non-coding RNA, 430 nt
Filed under: Salvia miltiorrhiza (redroot sage)
Lineage: Eukaryota; Viridiplantae; Streptophyta; Magnoliopsida; Lamiales; Lamiaceae
Description: long non-coding RNA (SMIL_LNC013005)
Source: RNAcentral
UGGGCUGUAGCUUACCGUUUGGAGUUGCCGCCUACUAGCCGCAUUCACCCCGUCUUCCACAUCUCUACCUUGAAACCUUUUAAGGGAGAUGGUAUUGAGUUGAUUUGCCAGUUGCCUCCAGAUUCGGUGCAAGCUCAACCAGUAAUUACCCCAAUCGCAGUCUGCUCAUCGCCCCACAUACUCUCUCAUGGCAAGGUGCGACACCAAGUGUGGUUCAGUGGUCGGCGAACCACCUGAGAGCUCGACGUGGGAGGAUUUUGAAGAUUUGCAAGGAGAUUUUCCCCAGUUUACCUUGAGGACAAGGGUUCCAAAGUGGUGGGGAAUGAUACACCUGACAACACUACCAGCCCAAGCCCACCAAGGAAGACGAAGGCCCACGUUGCACCAAGCCCACUCAGUAACCAAACUCCCCAUCAAGCUCAAGGAUUAC